UAAUUGAAGAGUUUGAUCAUGGCUCAGAUUGAACGCUGGCGGCAGGCCUAACACAUGCAAGUCGAACGGUAACAGGGAGCAGCUUGCUGCUCUGCUGACGAGUGGCGGACGGGUGAGUAAUGUCUGGGAAACUGCCUGAUGGAGGGGGAUAACUACUGGAAACGGUAGCUAAUACCGCAUAACGUCUACGGACCAAAGUGGGGGACCUUCGGGCCUCAUGCCAUCAGAUGUGCCCAGAUGGGAUUAGCUAGUAGGUGGGGUAACGGCUCACCUAGGC
RNAcentral lists this ribosomal RNA (277 nucleotides) under Leptospira borgpetersenii serovar Ballum. RNAcentral describes it as "partial 16S ribosomal RNA". It matches the Rfam family "Bacterial small subunit ribosomal RNA", at positions 1 to 274 of the family's 1533-position model. The record is from RNAcentral. Lineage: Bacteria; Pseudomonadati; Spirochaetota; Leptospiria; Leptospirales; Leptospiraceae.